CCUUUGACGUUAGCGGCGGACGGGUGAGUAACACGUGGGUAACCUACCUAUAAGACUGGGAUAACUUCGGGAAACCGGAGCUAAUACCGGAUAAUAUUUCGAACCGCAUGGUUCGAUAGUGAAAGGUGGUUUUGCUAUCACUUAUAGAUGGACCCGCGCCGUAUUAGCUAGUUGGUAAGGUAACGGCUUACCAAGGCGACGAUACGUAGCCGACCCGAGAGGGUGAUCGGCCACACUGGAACUGAGACACGGCCCAGACUCCUACGGGAGGCAGCAGCG
This 279-nucleotide ribosomal RNA is filed under the name uncultured Staphylococcus sp. RNAcentral's name for it is "partial 16S ribosomal RNA". It matches the Rfam family "Bacterial small subunit ribosomal RNA", at positions 83 to 356 of the family's 1533-position model. Lineage: Bacteria; Bacillati; Bacillota; Bacilli; Caryophanales; Staphylococcaceae. The record is from RNAcentral.